AACAAUAUAAGUUGAUAAUAAAAAGUAAAUGAGUUGUAAUUUCAAUAUUUCAAUACAGUAGCAACUAUCUUACUAAAACAAAACAAGUCUCUAUAAUAGUAGAACACAUAUCACUAAGUAAUUAAUCCUAACAAUAUCAGUUGAUAAUAAAAAGCAUAUGAGUUGUAAUUUCAAAAUCUCAAUACAGUAGCAACUAUCUUACUAAAACAAAACAAGUCUAUAUAAUAGUAGAACACAUACCACUAAGUAAUCAAUCCUAACAAUAUCAGUUGAUAAUAAAAAGCAUAUGAGUUGUAAUUUCAAGAUCUCAAUACAGCAGCAACUCACAACUUAAUAUGCACAAACAAUAUCAAAAGUUAAAUGACAAAACUGAAACAAUCCGAAAUCAAACCGAAAACUAAAUGCGACAAACAAACUUAGAUUCUAACAUCAACACAGAAAGCACAAUCCAGAAUGUAAAAACUGACCACCGAUGGAUCUAAAACUCGGAAUUGAAUUAUAACAUAAUUGGAAACUAAAUCAAGCUAGCAAACAAACAAGAACAUAACCAAAUUGAAAUGAUACACAACUCAAAUAGGAUGAAAUUCGGAUAGAAAUAUACCGAACACUAUGCGAGUGAAACCGUCAAUGGAAGCUGCAAGUUGUUGCUGUUGUUUUGAAAUCUCCUUUAUUGUUAAGCCUGAAUCUCUUCCUGAUAAAACCUGACUGAGUUGAUUCAAAUGAUACUUAAUGUCUUU
RNAcentral lists this long non-coding RNA (737 nucleotides) under Lathyrus oleraceus (garden pea). RNAcentral's name for it is "Pisum sativum (pea) long non-coding RNA (PSAT_LNC007457)". The record is from RNAcentral. Lineage: Eukaryota; Viridiplantae; Streptophyta; Magnoliopsida; Fabales; Fabaceae.